This 2576-nucleotide ribosomal RNA is filed under the name Tieghemiomyces parasiticus. Its description in RNAcentral is "eukaryotic LSU rRNA". It matches the Rfam family "Eukaryotic large subunit ribosomal RNA", at positions 62 to 2814 of the family's 3401-position model. The record is from RNAcentral. Lineage: Eukaryota; Fungi; Kickxellomycota; Dimargaritomycetes; Dimargaritales; Dimargaritaceae.
AAAACAACGGUGAUCCCCUUGGUAACGGCGAGUGACGAGGGGAAGGCCCAGCCUUAGAGGCCAUUCGUGGCGAUGCAGGCUAUAAUAAAUAGUAAGAGGGAUUAGUAUUGACUUCUCGAGUCUAUUGGGAUGUAGAGCAUGAUAGGGUGAUAGCCCCGUAGAGUGUUAAUACUAAUCCCCCUCAACUGUUUUAUUAUGAGUAGUACAGUUUGGGAAUGCUGUGCGAAGAUGGGUGGUAGGUGCCACUCCAGGCUAAAUACUUUGACGAGACCGAUAGCGAACAAGUACCGUGAGGGAAAGUUGAAAAGUACUCUGAAGAGAGAGUGCAAAGUACGUGAAAUAGGGUAAGAGGAAGCGUUAGGGCGUCGUUGAUGGUUAUCAGCACGGGGUUAAUGGUAAAUAGAGGAACCCCAACUUAAGGAUUUUAAAUUAUUUACUUUCGAGUUUAUAGUUUAACCUGAGUUGGGACUUUAUUUACUAUUGGGGGAGUCGUAUGGACUCCGUGCUUAUGAUCCUUAACGGCCCGUCUUGAAACACGGACCAAGGAGUCUAGAUGGGAUGCGAGUAUUAGGCCUGUAAGGUUUGAAUGCGAAAUGAAAGUGACGAGGCCGGUUAACGCCGGCGGGGGGGUGGUUUGAUUGAGUAAUCAUCUCUUCAUAAGCAUCCCGUCUAGGACCCGAAAGACAGUGAACUAUGCUUGAGCAGGGUGAAGCCAGAGGAAACUCUGGUGGAGGCCCGACAAGGUUUUGACGUGCAAAUCAAUCUUUAGACUUGAGGAUAGGGGCGAAAGACUAAUCGAACUGUUUGGUAGCUGGUUCCAGCCGAAGUUUCCCUCAGGAUAGCUAGGGCGAUAUAGUAGUUUUAUGCGGUAAAGCGAAUGAUUAGAGGUUACGGGGCUGCUUGCGGCCUUGGCCUAUUCUCAAACUUUGAAUGUGUAAGAUUGGGAUUGGUACUUAACGGACCAAUUCCAGACAAUAUUCGCCCUUAGUGGGCCAUUUUUGGUAAGCAGAACUGGCGAUGCGGGAUGAACCGGACACUCCGUUAAGGUGCCUAAAUAUCCGCUCAUUGACACCACAAAAGGAGUUGGUUCAUAUAGACAGUAGGACGGUGGCCAUGGAAGUUGGAAUCCGCUAAGGAGUGUGUAACAACUCACCUACCGAAUGAACUAGCCCUGAAAAUGGAUGGCGCUAAGCGGGUUACCGAGACGGGGUACCUAGGGUUGAUAUGAUACCUUAGGUAGUAGGCUGGCGUGGGGGUCGGGAUGAAGUUAUGAGGUGACUUGUAAUGGACCGACCUCUAGUGCAGAUCUUGGUGGUAGUAGCAAUUACUCAGGUGAGGGUGAUUACCUGAGGGCUGAAGUGGAGAAGGGUUCCCCAGGAACAGCAGUUGGCUGGGGGUGAGUCGGUCCUAAGGAAUAGGCUAAUAGCCGUUUAAAAUGAGAUAUUUAUUUUUUAAAAGAGAUAUAUUAUUUGAGUUCAAUAGGGAAGCUGGUUAACAUUCCAGCACUAGAAUGGUGAUUUAAGUGGAGACACAUUUAGGGUAGUAGUGACCUUGAGUACAGGAGUGAGGAGAGUUAUCCUUUCUUGUUAAGAGGUAGGGUGGGGUCAUGAAUUGCGUCGCGCAGCGAAGGACCUCAGUCUACCGAACACAACCUCAAUUUUGAGGCUGUCACAUCUUUGUACGCUUGCCUUGAAAAGCUACUACCCUUAUUAAUCGCCUUCUAUCCGUACCCAGAACCGCAUCAGGUCUCCUAGGUUAGUAGCCUUUAGCCUUUGGAACAACGUGUUUAAGGGAAGUCGGCAAAUUAGAUUUGUAACUUCGGGAGAAAAAUUGGCUGGGGCCCAACCAAAGCCCGUUAAAAGGUGGAGGAGGGAACCCCAACUGGUACGAUACAAGGGAAUCCAACUGUCUAUUUAAAACAUAGCAUUGCGAAGGCCUCUACAAGGUGUUGACGCAAUGUGAUUUCUGCCCAGUGCUCUGAAUGUCAAGGUGAAGAGAUUCGAAUACGCGCGGGUAAACGGCGGGAGUAACUAUGACUCUCUUAAGGUAGCCAAAUGCCUCGUCAUCUAACUAGUGACGCGCAUGAAUGGAUUAAUGAGAUUCCCACUGUCCCUAGAUACAUUCCAGCGAAACCACAGGCAAGGGAACGGGCUUGCGCAGAACAGCGGGGAAAGAAGACCCUGUUGAGCUUGACUUUAGCUUGAUUUGUGAAGAAACGUGGGGGGUGUAGUGUAGGGGGGAGGUAUCUUUAAGAUGCCGCCGUUGAAACACCCCCACCCCCACAGUUUCCUUACUAAAAGGAUGAUAUAUAUACUUUUAUUGUUUUAAAACUUCAAUAGAGGUUGAAUAUAAAUCUUUGACAGUUUCAGGUGGGAAGUUUGGCUGGGGCGGCACAUCUGUUAAAGAAUAACGCAGGUGUCCUAAGGACAACUCAUUGAGAACAGAAAUCUCAUGUAGAGUAAAAGGGCAAAAGUUGUCUUGAGUAGAUGUUUCAGUGUGAUAUUUACAUGGGAAACCAUGGCCUAUCGAUCCUUUGGAGUUUAGCCCAGCGCGUGGGGCCAGAGGUGUCAGAAAAG